GUGCCAGCAGCCGCGGUAAUACGGAGGGAGCUAGCGUUGUUCGGAAUCACUGGGCGUAAAGCGCACGUAGGCGGCUUGAUAAGUCAGGGGUGAAAUCCCGGGGCUCAACCCCGGAACUGCCUUUGAAACUAUCGAGCUGGAAUCUUGGAGAGGCGAGUGGAAUUCCGAGUGUAGAGGUGAAAUUCGUAGAUAUUCGGAAGAACACCAGUGGCGAAGGCGACUCGCUGGACAAGUAUUGACGCUGAGGUGCGAAAGCGUGGGGAGCAAACAGGAUUAGAAACCCGCGUAGUCC
Molecule: ribosomal RNA, 292 nt
Filed under: uncultured bacterium
Lineage: Bacteria
Description: partial 16S ribosomal RNA
Rfam family: Bacterial small subunit ribosomal RNA
Source: RNAcentral